AGACGAGGGAUCCUAGCGUUGUUCGGAAUUAUUGGGCGUAAAGCGGGUGCAGGUGGCUCGUUAAGUCAGGUGUGAAAUCCCAGGGCUCAACCCUGGACGUGCAUUUGAUACUGAUGAGCUUGAGUGUGGGAGAGGCUACUAGAAUUCUUGGUGUAGUGGUAAAAUACGUAGAUAUCAAGAGGAACAUCGGUGGCGAAGGCGGGUAACUGGACUGCAACUGACGCUGAGGCGCGAAAGUGUGGGGAGC
This 247-nucleotide ribosomal RNA is filed under the name uncultured bacterium. RNAcentral's name for it is "partial 16S ribosomal RNA". It matches the Rfam family "Bacterial small subunit ribosomal RNA", at positions 523 to 769 of the family's 1533-position model. The record is from RNAcentral.